AAUCAACGCUGGCGGCGUGCCUAACACAUGCAAGUCGAACGCGAAAGUCCCGCAAGGGAUGAGUAGAGUGGCAAACGGGUGAGUAACGCGUGGGUGACCUGCCUUCGAGUGGGGGAUAACGUUCCGAAAGGGACGCUAAUACCGCAUGACAUCCUGCCUUUGAAGAGGUGGAGAUCAAAGCCGGGGAUCGCAAGACCUAGCGCUUGGAGAGGGGCCCGCGUCCGAUUAGCAGUUGGUGGGGUAACGGCCUACCAAGGCAUCGAUCGGUAGCCGGCCUGAGGAGGGCGGACGGCCACACUGGGACUGAGACACGGCCCAGACUCCGUACGGAGGCAGCAGUGGGGAAUUGUUCGCAA
This 356-nucleotide ribosomal RNA is filed under the name uncultured bacterium. RNAcentral's name for it is "bacterial SSU rRNA". It matches the Rfam family "Bacterial small subunit ribosomal RNA", at positions 29 to 371 of the family's 1533-position model. The record is from RNAcentral.